Macaca mulatta (Rhesus monkey) is the source of this 948-nucleotide long non-coding RNA. RefSeq lists it as uncharacterized. The record is from RefSeq and is a predicted model, not a curated record. Lineage: Eukaryota; Metazoa; Chordata; Mammalia; Primates; Cercopithecidae.
GAUAGAUAGAUAGAUAGAUAGAUAGAUAGAUAGAUAGGAUUAUUGUGGGAAUUGGAUCACAUAUGGGAUCACAUACAAGAAUUGGACCACAUGCUGAGAAGUCCCACCAUAUGUGCCCCAGCAAGCUGGUGAACCAGAGAAGCUGGUGGUGUAAUUAAGUCUGAAUCUAAAGGCCUGAGAACAAGCAGAGCCAAUGGUGUAAGUCUCAGUUCAAGGCCAAAGGCCAAGAACAUGCAGGGGGGGAGUGUAGGGCAGGUGUAAGUUUCCACAUCUGCAGGUCCAAAAACCUGGAGUCCCUGAUGUCCAAGGUAGAAAACUGAAAGUCUCAGCUCCAGAGAAAAGAGUGACUUCAUCUUUCCACUGCUUUUUAAUUCUAUCCAGGCCUUCAAUGAAUUGGAUGAUGUCCACCCACACUGGUGAGGGCAGAUCUUUCUUACUCCACCCACUGAUGCAGAUGUCAAUCUCUUCUGGAAACACCUUCACGGGCAUUCCCAGAGCUAAAGCUUCACCAGCAUUAGUUGGUAAAUAUGUGAUUAGGAACUCUUUUGUGAACCAGAAAAGAGAAAUCUUGCACUGAUUGGAAUAUGGCAGCCACUCACCAUCUCCCCUGUCUGCUCUCACUUAGUUUAUCUGACCCAGUGGGAAUGGAGAAUCUCAGGCAUAAAACCAACCGCUUCGUGGGUCACUCUGGAAAAUUCUAAACUGAAGCUUUUUUGAGAAAGGAGACAUUACCUCAGAACUUCCACAUGUAGCUACUAUGGAGUUUCUGUUUAUGUGAAUGAAUAUUUUCACCAGAUAUUGGAAACAUGCUAAAGCUGGAUUCCAGUGCAAUAAAGGCAACUCAUGUAGCCAUUGGCUUGUGAUAUUAUGAGAAAUACAGUUAAAUUAGACCAAUACUCCACCAGGAAUUGAGACCAAAAUAAAUGAUCAUUUUUUAAAAAAGAAAAA